GUUUAAAUAGUUUAAUAUAAAAUUUAGGUUUGUGAUUCCUAGGAUACAUUUAAUAUGUUUUAGACA
This 66-nucleotide transfer RNA is filed under the name Poecilasma litum. Its description in RNAcentral is "tRNA-His". Lineage: Eukaryota; Metazoa; Arthropoda; Thecostraca; Poecilasmatidae. The record is from RNAcentral.